GUAGGCUUAAAAAAAUCCACUGUGUCAUGAGAAGAAUGAAGAAAGAUCUCUAGAGUAGCCUGUUUGUUGCAGUGCACAGGAAGAGCCAAGUGUUAGAAUGCAAAGUAACAGCUCAGCAUUCGCAAGGCAACCAUGUUCUGUGCUAUUUCUGGCCAGAACAGAUGUGGCUUUGAUGGACUAUGGGGAACAAUAUCUUUCAGGAUCUCCGUUUUGGGAGGCAUAGAAACCUGCUGAGGAGAGAUGGAGCCAUCCCCAAGCCUGAGAAGAUGAGCAUAAUUGACUUAUACCAAACACUUCACUGCUCACUGUGGAUGAAAGAUGAACAACCACACAUCUCCUUUCCUUGAAAAGCCCAUGGGGUCAAAGCAGGGGUGAUGAUCCACAUGGAAGUAUUAUCAAGUCUUGGAUCCAGUUCUCUCAGCAAAGCAUAGAGCUGCCACUGAGUUAAUAAAGAAAUAAAAUUCCUAGACAUUACCUCAUGACACAGAGUCCAUGAAAAUGUACCAAGUUUGGUCCUUUCUAGCCAAGUUCGCUUUGGGAGGUGACUAUGCUAUCACACUCAGUCCUUAACGUUUUCCCUACAUUCUCCAGAGGAACCCCUUGCCCGGGUGCCCUCUGAAUGAGUCACCCGGCAGAGCUACUUCAAAAGGAGAACAGGUUUGAUGACUGGUUUUCUUUUCUGAGUAGGAGGAUUAAGAGUAGUGGCUUGCUUAGCUAUGAAUCAGCAAAAAUAAGGAAAGUACAUAUUGGACCCCGUGCUCCUUCUUAGCCAACCAUGACUUCUGAAGGAGACCAGAGCCCUGGUGGAG
RNAcentral lists this long non-coding RNA (809 nucleotides) under Heterocephalus glaber (naked mole-rat). RNAcentral describes it as "lncRNA (ENSHGLG00100033412.1)". Lineage: Eukaryota; Metazoa; Chordata; Mammalia; Rodentia; Bathyergidae. The record is from RNAcentral.